Molecule: transfer RNA, 82 nt
Filed under: Jatrophihabitans sp.
Lineage: Bacteria; Bacillati; Actinomycetota; Actinomycetes; Jatrophihabitantales; Jatrophihabitantaceae
Description: tRNA-Tyr
Rfam family: tRNA
About the family: Transfer RNA (tRNA) molecules are approximately 80 nucleotides in length. Their secondary structure includes four short double-helical elements and three loops (D, anti-codon, and T loops). Further hydrogen bonds mediate the characteristic L-shaped molecular structure. tRNAs have two regions of fundamental functional importance: the anti-codon, which is responsible for specific mRNA codon recognition, and the 3' end, to which the tRNAs corresponding amino acid is attached (by aminoacyl-tRNA synthetases). tRNAs cope with the degeneracy of the genetic code in two manners: having more than one tRNA (with a specific anti-codon) for a particular amino acid; and 'wobble' base-pairing, i.e. permitting non-standard base-pairing at the 3rd anti-codon position.
Source: RNAcentral
GGCAGUGUGUCCGAGUGGCCAAAGGAAUCUGACUGUAAAUCAGACGGCUCUGCCUUCCCAGGUUCGAAUCCUGGCGCUGCCA